Molecule: transfer RNA, 72 nt
Filed under: Camelus bactrianus (Bactrian camel)
Lineage: Eukaryota; Metazoa; Chordata; Mammalia; Artiodactyla; Camelidae
Also listed under: 2 other names
Rfam family: tRNA
About the family: Transfer RNA (tRNA) molecules are approximately 80 nucleotides in length. Their secondary structure includes four short double-helical elements and three loops (D, anti-codon, and T loops). Further hydrogen bonds mediate the characteristic L-shaped molecular structure. tRNAs have two regions of fundamental functional importance: the anti-codon, which is responsible for specific mRNA codon recognition, and the 3' end, to which the tRNAs corresponding amino acid is attached (by aminoacyl-tRNA synthetases). tRNAs cope with the degeneracy of the genetic code in two manners: having more than one tRNA (with a specific anti-codon) for a particular amino acid; and 'wobble' base-pairing, i.e. permitting non-standard base-pairing at the 3rd anti-codon position.
Source: Rfam by way of RNAcentral
GAGGUUAUAGCUCAGUGGUAGAGUGCCUGCUUAGCAUGCACAAGGUCCUGGGUUCAAUCCCCAGUCCCUCCA